Molecule: ribosomal RNA, 501 nt
Filed under: uncultured bacterium
Lineage: Bacteria
Description: partial 16S ribosomal RNA
Rfam family: Bacterial small subunit ribosomal RNA
Source: RNAcentral
AUUGAACGCUGGCGGCAGGCUUAACACAUGCAAGUCGAGCGGAGAGAGGUAGCUUGCUACUGAUCUUAGCGGCGGACGGGUGAGUAAUGCUUAGGAAUCUGCCUAUUAGUGGGGGACAACAUUUCGAAAGGAAUGCUAAUACCGCAUACGUCCUACGGGAGAAAGCAGGGGAUCUUCGGACCUUGCGCUAAUAGAUGAGCCUAAGUCGGAUUAGCUAGUUGGGGGGGUAAAGGCCUACCAAGGCGACGAUCUGUAGCGGGUCUGAGAGGAUGAUCCGACACGCUGGGACUGAGACACGGCCCAGACUCCGACGGGAGGCAGCAGUGGGGAAUAUUGGACAAUGGGCGGAAGCCUGAUCCAGCCAUGCCGCGUGUGUGAAGAAGGCCUUAUGGUUGUAAAGCACUUUAAGCGAGGAGGAGGCUACUUUAGUUAAUACCUAGAGAUAGUGGACGUUACUCGCAGAAUAAGCCCCGGCUAACUUCGUGCCAGCCGCCGCAGUAA